This 206-nucleotide long non-coding RNA is filed under the name Carica papaya (papaya). RNAcentral's name for it is "long non-coding RNA (CPAP_LNC015374)". Lineage: Eukaryota; Viridiplantae; Streptophyta; Magnoliopsida; Brassicales; Caricaceae. The record is from RNAcentral.
AGAAGAGAAAGAGAAGGAAGCACGCCAAGCCGCACAGGCGGAACAAUUAGCUGUAGAAGGGAUUAAUAUUGCGGCGGAGGUUGAGGCAGCAAUACCAAUUUCUUUUAGGACAUCAGAUGAAGGAGAUGUCUACCCUUUUGAAUCCAACCAAAUGAUGCUUCUACGAUCUCUUUCUCUCUUUGUGUAUAUAUACAUCAAAUAAUUUU